UGAGCAAUCUGCCCUUCUCUUCGGAAUAAGCGUUGGAAACGACGUCUAAUGCCGAAUACGACCUCCUUUCGCAUGAUCGGAGGUGGAAAGCUCCGGCGGAGAAGGAUGAGCUCGCGGCCUAUCAGCUAGUUGGUGUGGGUAAUGGCCCACCAAGGCAACGAUGCGUAGCCGACCUGAGAGGGUGAUCGGCCACAUUGGAACUGAGACACGGUCCAGACCUCUACGGGAGG
This 230-nucleotide ribosomal RNA is filed under the name uncultured bacterium. Its description in RNAcentral is "partial 16S ribosomal RNA". It matches the Rfam family "Bacterial small subunit ribosomal RNA", at positions 118 to 347 of the family's 1533-position model. The record is from RNAcentral.